GAUGAACGCUGGCGGCGUGCUUAACACAUGCAAGUCGAACGGUGAAGGCGGAGCUUGCUCUGCUGGAUCAGUGGCGAACGGGUGAGUAACACGUGAGCAAUCUGCCCCUGACUCUGGGAUAAGCGCUGGAAACGGCGUCUAAUACUGGAUACGAGCUGCGAAGGCAUCUUCAGCAGCUGGAAAGAACUUCGGUCAGGGAUGAGCUCGCGGCCUAUCAGCUUGUUGGUGAGGUAACGGCUCACCAAGGCGUCGACGGGUAGCCGGCCUGAGAGGGUGACCGGCCACACUGGGACUGCGACACGGCCCAGACUCCUACGGGAGGCAGCAGUGGGGAAUAUUGCACAAUGGGCGAAAGCCUGAUGCAGCAACGCCGCGUGGGGGACGACGGCCUUCGGGUUGUAAACCUCUUUUAGCAGGGAAGAAGCGAAAGUGACGGUACCUGCAGAAAAAGCGCCGGCUAACUACGUG
RNAcentral lists this ribosomal RNA (468 nucleotides) under uncultured bacterium. RNAcentral describes it as "partial 16S ribosomal RNA". It matches the Rfam family "Bacterial small subunit ribosomal RNA", at positions 28 to 507 of the family's 1533-position model. The record is from RNAcentral.